UACAGAGGGUGCGAGCGUUAAUCGGAUUUACUGGGCGUAAAGGGCGCGUAGGCGGAUAUAUGAGUGUGAUGUGAAAGCCCCGGGCUUAACCUGGGAAGCGCAUCGCAAACGAUAUAUCUGGAGUAGAUGAGAGGGUGGCGGAAUUUCCGGUGUAGCGGUGAAAUGCGUAGAGAUCGGAAGGAACGUCGAUGGCGAAGGCAGCCACCUGGCAUCAUACUGACGCUGAGGCGCGAAAGCGUGGGGAGCGAACAGGAUUAGAUACCCUGGUAGUCCACGCUGUAAACGAUGAGAACUAAAUGUUAGUAGGGGAACCUAUUAGUAUUGAAGCUAACGCGAUAAGUUCUCCGCCUGGGAAGUACGGCCGCAAGGUUGAA
Molecule: ribosomal RNA, 374 nt
Filed under: uncultured bacterium
Lineage: Bacteria
Description: bacterial SSU rRNA
Rfam family: Bacterial small subunit ribosomal RNA
Source: RNAcentral